GACGAACGCUGGCGGCGUGCUUAACACAUGCAAGUCGAACGGUGAAGCGCCUUCCUUUUUGGUGGGUGUGGAUGAGUGGCGAACGGGUGAGUAACACGUGAGUAACCUGCCCCCUUCUUCUGGAUAACCGCAUGAAAGUGUGGCUAAUACGGGAUAUUCUGGGUCUGUCGCAUGAUGGGUCUGGGAAAGAUAUUGUUUCGGUGGGGGAUGGGCUCGCGGCCUAUCAGCUUGUUGGUGGGGUGAUGGCCUACCAAGGCGGUGACGGGUAGCCGGCCUGAGAGGGUGGACGGUCACACUGGGACGGAGACACGGCCCAGACUCCGACGGGAGGCAGCAGUGGGGAAUAGUGCACAAUGGGCGCAAGCCUGAUGCAGCGACGCCGCGUGAGGGAUGGAGGCCUGCGGGUUGUGAACCUCUUUCGCCAGUGAAGCAGGCCUGCCUCGUUUGUGGGUGGGUUGACGGUAGCUGGAGAAGAAGCGCCGGCUAACUACGUG
RNAcentral lists this ribosomal RNA (494 nucleotides) under uncultured bacterium. RNAcentral describes it as "partial 16S ribosomal RNA". It matches the Rfam family "Bacterial small subunit ribosomal RNA", at positions 28 to 507 of the family's 1533-position model. The record is from RNAcentral.